Molecule: long non-coding RNA, 233 nt
Filed under: Olea europaea (common olive)
Lineage: Eukaryota; Viridiplantae; Streptophyta; Magnoliopsida; Lamiales; Oleaceae
Description: long non-coding RNA (OEUR_LNC004390)
Source: RNAcentral
ACAAGUUGCGGAGUUAACCCAACGUUUGGCGGAACAGGAGUUCGGUAAUCAUGAUGUGGAAGGUCACGAUUCCGAUACCAGUUUCGAAAACCCGUAUCACCAUCGUGCUCGAGUUUGGGAGCAUCGUGGACGGGAGGAUCGUCAUGUAGAUCUCGAUUUCAGAGUGGAUCUGCCCGAGUUUUCUGGUACGUUGCAGGCUGAAGGAUUUAUUGAUUGGUUGAAUGAAGUGGAGC